GGGGAGAUAGCUCAGUCGGUAGAGCAAUGGAUUGAAAAUCCAUGUGUCCGCGGUUCAAUUCCGCGUCUUCCCACCA
Molecule: transfer RNA, 76 nt
Filed under: Planctomycetota bacterium
Lineage: Bacteria; Pseudomonadati; Planctomycetota
Description: Planctomycetes bacterium (marine metagenome) tRNA-Phe
Rfam family: tRNA
About the family: Transfer RNA (tRNA) molecules are approximately 80 nucleotides in length. Their secondary structure includes four short double-helical elements and three loops (D, anti-codon, and T loops). Further hydrogen bonds mediate the characteristic L-shaped molecular structure. tRNAs have two regions of fundamental functional importance: the anti-codon, which is responsible for specific mRNA codon recognition, and the 3' end, to which the tRNAs corresponding amino acid is attached (by aminoacyl-tRNA synthetases). tRNAs cope with the degeneracy of the genetic code in two manners: having more than one tRNA (with a specific anti-codon) for a particular amino acid; and 'wobble' base-pairing, i.e. permitting non-standard base-pairing at the 3rd anti-codon position.
Source: RNAcentral